GGAGCGUAGCAGGAGGAAUGGCAGUGCUAGUCCCUGCAUUGUCGGGAGUUCAGAGCAGAGACGUCUUUUGUCCAGGUCUGAAGGUGGCACUGCAGAGACCUGCCCAUUUGCAACUCUGAUCUAGGUCAGCAAUAUCUCCUGGAAAAGCCCAGGCUACAGGAAGGCCCUGUGUAGCAAGAAAUGGACACAAGACAGCGUCGUCAACAUCUGUCACAUUGAAAUGCGGGUUCCUGGAGAAUGUUAGUUUCCCCACCUGCCAUCCUCUGCAUUUAUCUCUUACUAGCAGUGUCAUUCCCUGAGUGAGUGUCAGAGCAAAUUACGAGAAAGCCAGAUCUUCAGUCCUCAGGAUGAGAAGUGUGGGUGGGGAGAGAAAGGGAGGCAAAGUCAACUCAAAGGUCACGAAGUUGCCGUCUGCUGGACCAAAACUUACCAGCAGUUUAUUAAUACCUCCAGCCGAUGUUACAGUUGUGGCUUUACGGGGAAGGAGAGAUGAAGUUUCACUACAUUGCCCAGGCUAGUGUUGAACUCCUAACCUCAAGUGAUCCUCCUGCCUCAGCCUCCUGAGUUGCUGGGAUUACAGAGCUGUCAAUCAAGGUGUCUUCUCUGCCUUAUCUGGCCAAGAUACAACCAAACACCCAGACUGGGCCAAUCAGACUACUGGGAAUCUCGCUUUGGAGCAGAGCAAAGAAAAGACCCAGAAGAUGUUUGGAGCCCCUCUACUCUAACUGUGAAGCCCUGGCCAGAGAGAGAAUUCCUGUGGUGGAGAAUUGUCCUGGCUUCUGCCUUGUUCUGGGCCUUGUUCUCUGGGCUUCUUUUGAAUUCUGUGAGCCACAUACAUCCUUCCAAUACAUUCAUUUACUGCUGAUGUCAA
Molecule: long non-coding RNA, 871 nt
Filed under: Homo sapiens (human)
Lineage: Eukaryota; Metazoa; Chordata; Mammalia; Primates; Hominidae
Description: HSALNT0378031
Source: RNAcentral